UACGGAGAGUUUGAUCCUGGCUCAGGAUGAACGCUGGCGGCGUGCCUAAUACAUGCAAGUCGAGCGAACUGAUUAGAAGCUUGCUUCUAUGACGUUAGCGGCGGACGGGUGAGUAACACGUGGGCAACCUGCCUGUAAGACUGGGAUAACUUCGGGAAACCGAAGCUAAUACCGGAUAACAUCAUUCCUUGCAUAAGGAAUGAU
RNAcentral lists this ribosomal RNA (204 nucleotides) under Priestia megaterium. Its description in RNAcentral is "Bacillus megaterium partial 16S ribosomal RNA". It matches the Rfam family "Bacterial small subunit ribosomal RNA", at positions 1 to 201 of the family's 1533-position model. The record is from RNAcentral. Lineage: Bacteria; Bacillati; Bacillota; Bacilli; Caryophanales; Bacillaceae.